GAUGAAGAACGUAGCGAAAUGCGAUAAGUAAUGUGAAUUGCAGAAUUCAGUGAAUCAUCGAAUCUUUGAACGCAUCUUGCGCUCCUUGGUAUUCUGAGGAGCAUGCCUGUUUGAGUGUCAUUAAAUUCUCAACUACACUGACUUUGAAUUGGUGUGGCUUGGAUUUGGGGGGAAAAUUGUUGUGGGCUUUUUGUAUAGUCUGCUCCCCUGAAAUUGAUUAGCGGUACCUUUGUGGAACUGUCUACAGGUGUGAUAAUUAUCUACAUCUUAGACAUCUGCUGGAAUGCUGCUUUCUAAACCUUACUUGUAUUGACAAUCUUGACCUCAAAUCAGGUAGGACUACCCGCUGAACUUAAGGAUAUCAAUAAGCGGAGGA
This 376-nucleotide unclassified non-coding RNA is filed under the name soil metagenome. Its description in RNAcentral is "partial contains 5.8S ribosomal RNA, internal transcribed spacer 2, and large subunit ribosomal RNA". The stretch from base 1 to 120 matches the Rfam family "5.8S ribosomal RNA", at positions 35 to 154 of the family's 154-position model. The record is from RNAcentral.